GGGGAUGUAUUAGAAUCGACGGAAAUUUCUCCUUUGCCAUGCGGGCGGAGUUUGCUAGAAUCUCCUUAAACUUCUAGCAAAAUUUAAUGCCAACGAACCUUCUCUUGCAUUAGCUUAUUGCUAAUGCCAUCUGCCUGCCUGUCCUCGCUCGGGCAGUGUCAGGUGUCAUAUUAAGCGAGGGAAGCACUUUCGAUUGUUAACAAUUAAUCUUAGAUUUAUUCUAGAUGGUUGUCAGUUUUCCUUAAACUGACUAGGCCCGUAGAUUUGGUAAAGGGGAAUUUCCGGACGGGAGUGCAAUUCUCCCCAUCUCCAAAA
This 315-nucleotide transfer-messenger RNA is filed under the name Candidatus Parcubacteria bacterium. It matches the Rfam family "transfer-messenger RNA". From Rfam's summary of the family: Bacterial tmRNA, also known as 10Sa RNA or SsrA, is named for its dual tRNA and mRNA-like properties. Its role is to liberate the mRNA from a stalled ribosome. RNAcentral also lists the same sequence under 1 other name. Lineage: Bacteria; Candidatus Parcubacteria. The record is from RNAcentral.